UUAGCCUACCUAUUGUAUUAAAAGCACAUCUUUUUCGCAUUAUUCACACACUCAGUAUUCGCUGCUUCAACUUCAGUAGCCUACCUCUCCGAAGAAUCACGUGGCAGUUAAAUUGAAUGUGAAAUGAACUUAAAUAUGAUUAGACUGUAGCUUACUACGUUGUCUGUAAAUAAAUAUUGAUCAUGAAAAGAAGUGGAGGGCGCUCAACCAACAUGAGUCGAAGUGCAAUCAAAAAAAUUUAAGACAACGCACACAUAUUAGGCUACUAUGGUGAGCGAGCAUUGCACCUUUUCAUUUCCAAUAAGUAACCCAUUUAUUUGUCUCUGCCUGCAAAUCGUCCUUCGAAAAGCAGUUUGCAUCCCUGAGAGAAGAAUGGGAGAAACUCCCCAAAAACAGGUGUGCCAAGCUUGUAGCGUCAUACCCAAGAAGAGUCGAGGCUGUAAUCACUGCCAAAGUGGAAUGACACAGACAGAAACUAGCGUCUCACUCUGGGAUCGGAGCGAGGAGGAAUUUUUGAAACAAGCAAACGGCAGUCGGUGGAUCCAAUCUGUUCCUCCCCAUCUGGUGUUCUUGUUUUCCGCCGCCCCCACCACAUUGUAUCCUCGCUGCCACAGCCACAAUCGUUUCCUAGCCACUCACAGACAGAUAACACACAACUAGCUGGGCGGCACUCGGUCUCACCUUUUAUAACAGACACACACACACACACACCAACACAGAUGCAUACACACACAUAAAGUGUUUAUCUGUAAAAAAUUAUUAUAAAGAACAGCAUCACUCCCAGACAGUUUAUUGCUGGUAGAUAUACAGUACCAGUCAACAGUUUGGAC
Molecule: long non-coding RNA, 830 nt
Filed under: Salmo salar (Atlantic salmon)
Lineage: Eukaryota; Metazoa; Chordata; Actinopteri; Salmoniformes; Salmonidae
Description: lncRNA (ENSSSAG00000117149.1)
Source: RNAcentral